RNAcentral lists this ribosomal RNA (252 nucleotides) under uncultured bacterium. Its description in RNAcentral is "partial 16S ribosomal RNA". It matches the Rfam family "Bacterial small subunit ribosomal RNA", at positions 524 to 776 of the family's 1533-position model. The record is from RNAcentral.
UACGGAGGAUGCGAGCGUUAUCCGGAUUUAUUGGGUUUAAAGGGUGCGUAGGCGGGUUAUCAAGUCAGCGGUAAAAUCGUGGAGCUCAACUCCAUCCAGCCGUUGAAACUGAUGAUCUUGAGUGAGCGAGAAGUAUGCGGAAUGCGUGGUGUAGCGGUGAAAUGCAUAGAUAUCACGCAGAACUCCGAUUGCGAAGGCAGCAUACCGGCGCCCGACUGACGCUGAAGCACGAAAGCGUGGGUAUCGAACAGG